AGAACGAACGCUGGCGGCAUGCCUAACACAUGCAAGUCGAACGUGAUCCAGGCUUCGGCCUGGUGAAAGUGGCAGACGGGUGAGUAACGCGUGGGAACCUGCCCUGUGGUAGGGAAUAACCGUGGGAAACUGCGGCUAAUACCCUAUGAGUCCUUCGGGAGAAAGAUUUAUCGCCAUAGGGGGGCCCGCGUCGGAUUAGGUAGUUGGUGGGGUAACGGCCUACCAAGCCUUCGAUCCGUAGCUGGUCUGAGAGGAUGAUCAGCCACACUGGGACUGAGAUACGGCCCAGACUCCUACGGGAGGCAGCAGUGGGGAAUAUUGGACAAUGGGGGCAACCCUGAUCCAGCAAUGCCGCGUGGAUGAUGAAGGCCUUCGGGUUGUAAAGUCCUUUCGGCGGGGAAGAUGAUGACGGUACCCGCAGAAGAGCCCCGGCUAACUUCGUGCCAGCAGCCGC
RNAcentral lists this ribosomal RNA (454 nucleotides) under uncultured bacterium. RNAcentral describes it as "SSU rRNA". It matches the Rfam family "Bacterial small subunit ribosomal RNA", at positions 26 to 518 of the family's 1533-position model. The record is from RNAcentral.